UUGACGGGACCCGCACAGCAGCGGAGCAUGUGGUUUAAUUCGAAGCAACGCGAAGAACCUUACCAGAUCUUGACAUCCAAUUGACCAUCUUUUAAUCGAGAUUUUGCCUUCGGGUACAAUUGAGACAGGUGGUGCAUGGUUGUCGUCAGCUCGUGUCGUGAGAUGUUGGGUUAAGUCCCGCAACGAGCGCAACCCUUGUGUUUAGUUGCAAACAGGUCAAGCUGUGCACUCUAGACAGACUGCCGUGGACAACACGGAGGAAGGUGGGGAUGACGUCAAAUCAUCAUGCCCCUUAUGAUCUGGGCUACACACGUGCUACAAUGGCCGGUACAACGGGCAGCGAAGGAGCGAUCCGGAGCGAAUCCUAAAAAGCCGGUCCCAGUUCGGAUUGCAGGCUGAAACUCGCCUACAUGAAGUUGGAGUUGCUAGUAAUCGCGAAUCAGAAUGUCGCGGUGAAUGCGUUCCCGGGUCUU
This 473-nucleotide ribosomal RNA is filed under the name uncultured Fusibacter sp. RNAcentral describes it as "bacterial SSU rRNA". It matches the Rfam family "Bacterial small subunit ribosomal RNA", at positions 910 to 1382 of the family's 1533-position model. Lineage: Bacteria; Bacillati; Bacillota; Clostridia; Eubacteriales; Fusibacteraceae. The record is from RNAcentral.